Molecule: ribosomal RNA, 229 nt
Filed under: uncultured bacterium
Lineage: Bacteria
Description: partial 16S ribosomal RNA
Rfam family: Bacterial small subunit ribosomal RNA
Source: RNAcentral
UCCGUAGGCGGGCGUCUAAGUCAGUGGUGAAAUCUUACAGCUCAACUGUAAAAUUGCCAUUGAUACUGGAUGUCUUGAAUUAGUGUGAAGUGGUUAGAAUGUGUAGUGUAGCGGUGAAAUGCAUAGAUAUUACACAGAAUACCAAUUGCGAAGGCAGAUCACUAACACUAUAUUGACGCUGAGGGACGAAGGCGUGGGGAGCGAACAGGAUUAGAUACCCUGGUAGUCC